UGGGGAAUCUUGGACAAUGGGCGCAAGCCUGAUCCAGCCAUGCCGCGUGGAUGAUGAAGGCCUUAGGGUUGUAAAAUCCUUUCGCCGAGGACGAUAAUGACGGUACUCGGAGAAGAAGCUCCGGCUAACUUCGUGCCAGCAGCCGCGGUAAUACGAAGGGGGCUAGCGUUGUUCGGAUUUACUGGGCGUAAAGCGCGUGUAGGCGGGUCGUUAAGUUGGGGGUGAAAUCCCGAGGCUCAACCUCGGAACUGCCUUCAAAACUGGCGACCUGGACCUAAGUAGAGGCAAGUGGAAUUGCGAGUGUAGAGGUGAAAUUCGUAGAUAUUCGCAGGAACACCAGUGGCGAAGGCGACUUGCUGGACUUAUGGUGACGCUGAGACGCGAAAGCGUGGGAGCAAACAGGAUUAGAUACCCCAGUAGUCCCUGAGCGGGCUGGCAAGGCGCAU
Molecule: ribosomal RNA, 446 nt
Filed under: uncultured bacterium
Lineage: Bacteria
Description: bacterial SSU rRNA
Rfam family: Bacterial small subunit ribosomal RNA
Source: RNAcentral